GACGGAGGGUGCUAGCGUUGUUCGGAAUUACUGGGCGUAAAGCGUGUGUAGGCGGUCUCGCAAGUCGGAUGUGAAAGCCCCGGGCUCAACCCGGGAAGUGCACCCGAUACUGCAAGACUCGAGUACCGGAGAGGUUGGUGGAAUUCUCGGUGUAGAGGUGAAAUUCGUAGAUAUCGAGAGGAACACCGGUGGCGAAGGCGGCCAACUGGACGGAUACUGACGCUGAGACACGAAAGCGUGGGGAGCAAACAGG
Molecule: ribosomal RNA, 253 nt
Filed under: uncultured bacterium
Lineage: Bacteria
Description: partial 16S ribosomal RNA
Rfam family: Bacterial small subunit ribosomal RNA
Source: RNAcentral